AUGGCCAUGACAGAAAAGCUCAGAAAAUGUGGGUCAGUGGAGUGUGUGGGGGGCCCCAGGAGUUCUGUGUGGGAGCAGCUUCUGGAAGGAAGGGCCCGCACCAGCUCCUCUGGGGUUUGCCACACUCAUGAUGCACUGUGUAGCAAUCAGCCCCAGUAUUUUGGAGAUGGCACUCGACUCUCCGUCCUAGAGGACCUGAAAAAGGUGUUCCCACCCAAGGUCGCUGUGUUUGAGCCAUCAGAAGCAGAGAUCUCCCACACCCAAAAGGCCACGCUGGUGUGCCUGGCCACAGGCUUCUACCCCGACCACGUGGAGCUGAGCUGGUGGGUGAACGGGAAAGAGGUGCACAGUGGGGUCAGCACGGACCCACAGCCCCUCAAGGAGCAGCCCGCCCUCGAGGACUCCAGAUACUGCCUGAGCAGCCGCCUGAGGGUCUCAGCCACCUUCUGGCACAACCCCCGCAACCACUUCCGCUGCCAAGUCCAGUUCUAUGGGCUCUCGGAGGAUGACGAGUGGACCGAGGACAGGGACAAGCCCAUCACCCAAAAGAUCAGCGCCGAGGUCUGGGGUAGAGCAGACUGUGGCUUCACCUCAGUGUCCUACCAGCAAGGGGUCCUGUCUGCCACCAUCCUCUAUGAGAUCCUGCUGGGGAAGGCCUCCCUGUAUGCUGUGCUGGUCAGUGCCCUCAUGUUGAUGGCCAUGGUCAAGAGGAAGGAUUUCUGAAGGCAGCCCUGGAAGUGGAAUUAGGAGCUUCUAACCCGUUGUGAUUUCAAUAUACAUUCUUCUUUUGCCAGUGCUUCUGAAGAGCUGCUCUCACCUCUCUACAUCCCAAUAGAUACCCACUAUGUGCAUGCACGCCUGCACACUCACGGCUGAAAUCUCCCUAACCCAGGGGCACCUUAGCAUUCCUAAGUGACUAAGCCAAUAAAAAUGUUCUGAUCUGGCCUGA
Macaca mulatta (Rhesus monkey) is the source of this 949-nucleotide non-coding RNA. The record is from the annotation of a RefSeq genome assembly. NCBI's taxonomy places the organism in Eukaryota, Metazoa, Chordata, Mammalia, Primates, Cercopithecidae.